This is a long non-coding RNA of Melanotaenia boesemani (Boeseman's rainbowfish), 547 nucleotides long. RefSeq lists it as uncharacterized. NCBI's taxonomy places the organism in Eukaryota, Metazoa, Chordata, Actinopteri, Atheriniformes, Melanotaeniidae. The record is from RefSeq and is a predicted model, not a curated record. The transcript has 3 exons.
CGUGCACCCCUGGCUCGGCACCGUUUCAGGGUCCAGGUGACUCAUUGCCACACGAGUGGAACGCCCUGCAGAGAUAGAAGACGGGUGUAUCACAGGAGGGCUUAGGGUUAUUCCUGCCUCCUGUCUCUUGCUGAAAAGGUAACUGUGUGUGUGUGGCAAGCUUGGUGUGGCACCUGGAGCUUUUAUUAAUUGUUUGAUUUUGUUUGUUUUGUAGGUGCCAACAUCCUCGCAUUGCCGUUUUGUUCUGGGUCUUUUAUUAUUAGUUCUUUUAAAGUUAUUUUUAUGGAUUAAUUGUUGUUUCUAUUAUUUGCCGUCCUUUUACUAAUACAUAUCCGUUGUUGUGUUCCCCUCAGGAUACUGAUUUUAGCUGCUACCAGCGGUUGGCGUGGAGGCCCCGCAGUGGCGCCAACAGACAGGAUUGGGAGUGGUGUGAGGUGGCCCAGCACUGCUUCGUUUGUAUUGGUUUUUACCUUCUUUUUGAUUAUACAUAGGUUGCUGUGGUUUUUCUUAAGCUUAAUUUAUUUGGUUUUAACUGCAUGUUGUGUGU